GCAUAACGCGAAGAACCUUACCAAGGCUUGACAUGCAUCUCUAAGCGCGUGAAAGCGCGUGACCCUUCGGGGGAUUUGCACAGGUGCUGCAUGGCCGUCGUCAGCUCGUGUCGUGAGAUGUUGGGUUAAGUCCCGCAACGAGCGCAACCCUUGUGACUAGUUGCCAGCACGUUAUGGUGGGAACUCUAGUCAGACUGCCCAGAUCAACUGGGAGGAAGGUGGGGACGACGUCAGGUCAGUAUGGCCCUUACGCCUUGGGCUGCACACGUACUACAAUGCCCAGUACAAUGUGAACCGAUACCGCGAGGUGGAGGAAAUCAAUAAAACUGAGCCCAGUUCAGAUUGUAGGCUGCAACUCGCCUACAUGAAGUCGGAAUCGCUAGUAAUGGCGCAUCAGCAACGGCGCCGUGAAUACGUUCCCGGGUCUUGUACACACCG
Molecule: ribosomal RNA, 438 nt
Filed under: uncultured bacterium
Lineage: Bacteria
Description: bacterial SSU rRNA
Rfam family: Bacterial small subunit ribosomal RNA
Source: RNAcentral